CCCACACCCAAUCCAAGAACUCUGCUGCCUGUAGCAGGUAAUUUAACAGUGGUGUGCACAACAAAGGGGUUUUUCACCUUGGGGGGCUGUGUGGUGCCCCCCCAGAGUAGACUGGGAGGUUGCAUAGUC
Small nucleolar RNA from Rattus rattus (black rat), 129 nucleotides. RefSeq annotates it as small nucleolar RNA SNORA68. NCBI's taxonomy places the organism in Eukaryota, Metazoa, Chordata, Mammalia, Rodentia, Muridae. The record is from RefSeq and is a predicted model, not a curated record. The transcript has a single exon.